ACGGCUCAGUAACACGUAGUCAAUCUACCCUAUGGACGGGGAUAACCUCGGGAAACUGAGGAUAAAACCCGAUAGAUCAUAGUGCCUGGAACGGCUUAUGGUCCAAAUGAUUCGUCGCCGUAGGAUGGGACUGCGGCCUAUCAGCUUGUUGGUGAGGUAAUGGCCCACCAAGGCUAUUACAGGUACGGGCUCUGAGAGGAGAAGCCCGGAGAUGGGUACUGAGACACGGACCCAGGCCCUAUGGGGCGCAGCAGGCGAGAAACCUUUGCAAUGUGCGCAAGCACGACAAGGUUAAUCCGAGUGUUUCCUGCUAAAGGAAUCUUUUGUUAGUUCUAAAACCACUGAUGAAUAAGGGGUGGGCAAAGUUCUGGUGUCAAGCCGCCGCGGUAAAACCAGCGCCUCAAGUGGUCAGGAGGAUUAUUGGGCCUAAAGCAUCCGUAGCCUGUUCUAUAAGUUUCCGGUUAAAUCCAUUAGCUUUAACUAAUGGGCUGCCGAAAAUACUGUAGAACUAGGGAGUGGGAGAGGUAGACGGUACUCGGUAGGAAGGGGUAAAAUCCUUUGAUCUAUUGAUGACCACCUGUGGCGAAGGCGGUCUACCAGAACACGUUCGACGGUGAGGGAUGAAAGCUGGGGGAGCAAACCGGAUUAGAUACCCGGGUAGUCCCAGCUGUAAACGAUGCAGACUCGGUGAUGCGCUGGCUUGUGGCCAGUGCAGUGCCGCAGGGAAGCCGUUAAGUUUGCCGCCUGGGAAGUACGUACGCAAGUAUGAAACUUAAAGGAAUUGGCGGGGGAGCAC
Molecule: ribosomal RNA, 796 nt
Filed under: uncultured archaeon
Lineage: Archaea
Description: bacterial SSU rRNA
Rfam family: Archaeal small subunit ribosomal RNA
Source: RNAcentral